ACUUUUAUUUUGGAAAAAGAACUGCUGCUGUUUCAAGACAUGCGCACUAGCUGCGACAUCUAGUGACGACAUUUACCGGGCUUUAACGGUUGUUGCUGCAUGAAGUCUGCUGCAAUUUCUCUGAGAUUUCUCAAGAUCAUCAGUUUGGACAGAAUUCAUUUGAAGAAUUAAUAGCACUAGCAGGUUCCAAUAAAGGCUGGAACAGAACAGACAGAAAAGAAUCUGUCAGAAGAAAUUCAACUACUGUUCGUGCACCAGAUGGUGAAGUAGAAAAGUUCGUAAAAACUUCUGCAGCUUGCAUCUGACAGAGAUGCAAAAAGAAGAAGAGAGCGGGCCUGAAAACAAGCAAAUUCAAGGUUGUCAAUUCAGCAGAAAAGUUUGCUGUUCUCGCUGUUUACAGACAGGAGGUAAGCGCAUGUGAACACGCAGAUGACCUAUGGUGUCUGCGUAAGGGCUGGGCAAAAAAAUCGAUUUUCCGAUUAAUCGUUUUUUAAAACGUGGUCUAAUAAAAAUCGAUUCUCAAAGAGCAGAAUAGAUUUUUUUCUUUCAUAUUUAUUUCCACAAACAUUGAACGUAAGAUUAACUUUAAUCUAAUUACUAGUCUUCUUCAACGUUAGUGUUGUGGCUUUUAAUUUUUUUAUUAAUUACACACUUGUAAACUGCUGUUCACUGUUCUUUUUUAUUAAUAUAGUAUUUGUAUUAAAUCUAUAUUCAUUGAGUUGAAUCGAGAAUCGAGUAUAAAA
Paramisgurnus dabryanus is the source of this 743-nucleotide long non-coding RNA. RefSeq lists it as uncharacterized. Lineage: Eukaryota; Metazoa; Chordata; Actinopteri; Cypriniformes; Cobitidae. The record is from RefSeq and is a predicted model, not a curated record.